RNAcentral lists this ribosomal RNA (107 nucleotides) under Phycisphaerae bacterium. Lineage: Bacteria; Pseudomonadati; Planctomycetota; Phycisphaerae. The record is from RNAcentral.
GUCGGCGACUACAGGCGGAGGGAAACACCUGUUCCCAUCCCGAACACAGCAGUGAAGACUCCGCCGCCGAUGAUACUGCACCGCGGGAAAGUAGGUCAUCGCCGACU